This 45-nucleotide non-coding RNA is filed under the name Schistosoma margrebowiei. The record is from RNAcentral. Lineage: Eukaryota; Metazoa; Platyhelminthes; Trematoda; Strigeidida; Schistosomatidae.
AUCCAACUGACGAGUCCCAUAUAGAACGAAACGCACGUCUUGGAU